GUCCAAGGAUGGGAAUCGAACCCACAGUGUUCCGCUUACCGGGCAGAUGCCAUGUCCACUAGGCUACCCUGGA
Non-coding RNA from Cordylochernes scorpioides, 73 nucleotides. Lineage: Eukaryota; Metazoa; Arthropoda; Arachnida; Pseudoscorpiones; Chernetidae. The record is from the annotation of a GenBank genome assembly.